CAGCAGCCACGGGAAAACGGAGGGUGCAAGCGUUAUCCGGAUUUAUUGGGUUUAAAGGGUCCGUAGGCGGAUCUGUAAGUCAGUGGUGAAAUCUCACAGCUUAACUGUGAAACUGCCAUUGAUACUGCAGGUCUUGAGUAAAUUUGAAGUGGCUGGAAUAAGUAGUGUAGCGGUGAAAUGCAUAGAUAUUACUUAGAACACCGAUUGCGAAGGCAGGUCACUAAGAUUUAACUGACGCUGAUGGACGAAAGCGUGGGGAGCGAACAGGAUUAGAUACCCGGGUAGUCCCUGUCUCUUAUAC
This 301-nucleotide ribosomal RNA is filed under the name uncultured bacterium. RNAcentral's name for it is "partial 16S ribosomal RNA". It matches the Rfam family "Bacterial small subunit ribosomal RNA", at positions 509 to 807 of the family's 1533-position model. The record is from RNAcentral.